Molecule: long non-coding RNA, 1692 nt
Organism: Oncorhynchus nerka (sockeye salmon)
Lineage: Eukaryota; Metazoa; Chordata; Actinopteri; Salmoniformes; Salmonidae
Exons: 2
Source: RefSeq, a predicted model, not a curated record
UCUAUCCCAGUUCUAUCUGCCUGUUAAAUCAGUUUCUGGACCACAGGUUCUAGAACAGCUUCUAUCCCAGUUCUAUCUGCCUGUUAAAUCAGUUUCUGGACCACAGGUUCUAGAACAGCUUCUAUCCCAGUUCUAUCUGCCUGUUAAAUCAGUUUCUGGACCACAGGUUCUAGAACAGCUUCUAUCCCAGUUCUAUCUGCCUGUUAAAUCAGUUUCUGGACCACAGGUUCUAGAACAGCUUCUAUCCCAGUUCUAUCUGCCUGUUAAAUCAUCAACCUGUUUCCAUCAGACUAUUAGAACAUGACUGAACCUUUUGGUUCCUUUUCUGAUCUUUUACCACUUUGCAUUUUUUAUGAUAUAUAAUAAUGUUUGUGUUUGUACCACAGGAGGUUGGUGGGACCUUAAUUGGGGAGGACAGGCUUGUAAUGGCUGGAGGGGAAUAAGUAGAAUGGUAUCAAACACGUGGUUUCCAUGUGUUCCAUUUCAUUCACUCUGUUCCAGACAUUAUUAUGAGCCGUCCUCCCCUCACCAGCCUCCAGUGGUAUGUACUGUCCUAUAUGUGAGAGAGCUCCAACAAGGAAUUACAAUGCAUGUAUUACUUUUAAUUACUGCAAAUGGCAAAUAAACUACUAGAACUCCUUAUGAAUGUCUGCAGCCGACUAGGCUGUUGGCGUCUGACAAGAGGUGAAAAUAUUACAGGAAUAUUCUGCAAAUGUUGAUGAAGACGUCACUCAAUCCCCCCAAAACAACAUGAAGUCUUUCCACAAGACUCCCAUGAAGUUAUAGUGUGACGUUAUGAGUUGACGUUAAAGUAACAUUCUCAGAACAUACUGCACUUGUUUUAUACUGUUUUAGAUGGAUCCUCUGUUUCAACAUUUAAACUCUUAAAUUUAAACAAUUAAACAAUUAAACUCUUAAAUGUAAACAAUUUAAACAAUAACACCGUUAAAAUACCAAUGUGAUCAUUUGUUGUACGUCUUUUAUGUUGAAUAACAAAUAGUACAAUUAUAUAUGGACAUACGCUCCAAAUACACUGCUGAUGUCGCAGAAAGGCCACAAAGAUCAUCAAGGACAACAUCCACCCGAGCCACUGCCUGUUCACCCCGCUACCAUCCAGAAGGCGAGGUCAGUACAGGUGCAUCAAAGCUGGGACCGAGAGACUGAAAAACAGCUUCUAUCUCAAGGCCAUCAGACUGUUAAACAGCCACCACUAACAUUGAGUGGCUGCUGCCAACACACUGACUCAACUCCAGCCACUUUAAUAAUGGAAAUUGAUGGAAAUUGAUGGAAAAAUAUGCAUCACUAGCCACUUUACAAUGCCACUUAAUAUAAUGUUUACAUACCCUACAUUACUCAUCUCAUAUGUAUAUACUGUACUCGAUACCAUCUACUGCAUCUUGCCUAUGCCGUUCUGUACCAUCACUCAUUCAUGUAUGUUUAUGUACAUAUUCUUUAUCCCUUUACACUUGUGUAUAUAAGGUAAUUGUUGUGAAAUCGUUAGGUUAGAUUACUUGUUGGUUAUUACUGCAUUGUCGGAACUAGAAGCACAAGCAUUUCGCUAACCUCGCAUUAACAUCUGCUAACCAUGUGUAUGUGACAAAUAAAAUGUGAUUUUAGUUUAUUUAGUUGUACAAGUAUACAAGAAGAUAUUGUAUUUUUCAUAAUAAAACAUAAUUGAAACAAGAAAAAGCA